AUAUUGGUCAAUGGACGCAAGUCUGAACCAGCCAUGCCGCGUGAAGGAUGACGGCCUUCUGGGUUGUAAACUUCUUUUAUCUGGGAAGAAACCUACGAUUUCUAUUGUAGCCGACGGUACCAGAGGAAUAAGCACCGGCUAACUCCGUGCCAGCAGCCGCGGUAAUACGGAGGGUGCAAGCGUUAUCCGGAUUCACUGGGUUUAAAGGGUGUGUAGGCGGACUAUUAAGUCAGUGGUGAAAUCUCCGGGCUCAACCCGGAAACUGCCGUUGAUACUAUUAGUCUUGAAUUCUGUUGAGGUAGGCGGAAUACAUCAUGUAGCGGUGAAAUGCUUAGAUAUGAUGUAGAACACCGAUUGCGAAGGCAGCUUACUAAACAGCUAUUGACGCUGAGGCACGAAAGCGUGGGGAUCAAACAGG
RNAcentral lists this ribosomal RNA (418 nucleotides) under uncultured bacterium. RNAcentral describes it as "bacterial SSU rRNA". It matches the Rfam family "Bacterial small subunit ribosomal RNA", at positions 361 to 776 of the family's 1533-position model. The record is from RNAcentral.